Molecule: transfer RNA, 76 nt
Filed under: Patescibacteria group bacterium
Lineage: Bacteria
Also listed under: 2 other names
Description: tRNA-Ile
Rfam family: tRNA
About the family: Transfer RNA (tRNA) molecules are approximately 80 nucleotides in length. Their secondary structure includes four short double-helical elements and three loops (D, anti-codon, and T loops).
Source: RNAcentral
GCGCCCAUAGCUCAGUGGUUAGAGCACCGGCCUUAUAAGCCGGGGGUCGAUGGUUCAAGUCCAUCUGGGCGCACCA